GAGAGCGCAGUACAACGGAGAGGAAGUUGUAUGCUGCGUUCGGGAAGGAUGAAUCACUCCUGAAAAAGAAUCUAUUGAUUCUCUUCCAAUUAGUGGAUUGGAUAGUAUCGCAGGUGCGAGGAUUUACUUCAC
Non-coding RNA from Picea glauca (white spruce), 132 nucleotides. The record is from Rfam. NCBI's taxonomy places the organism in Eukaryota, Viridiplantae, Streptophyta, Pinopsida, Pinales, Pinaceae.